CGGGGCAUAGCUCAGCUGGAUAGAGUAGGAAACUUCUAAUUUCUUGGUCGGUGGGUUCGAAUCCCCCUGCCUCGGCCA
RNAcentral lists this transfer RNA (78 nucleotides) under Vibrio vulnificus. RNAcentral describes it as "tRNA-Arg". It matches the Rfam family "tRNA". Rfam says of the family: Transfer RNA (tRNA) molecules are approximately 80 nucleotides in length. Their secondary structure includes four short double-helical elements and three loops (D, anti-codon, and T loops). Lineage: Bacteria; Pseudomonadati; Pseudomonadota; Gammaproteobacteria; Vibrionales; Vibrionaceae. The record is from RNAcentral.